Long non-coding RNA from Carassius carassius (crucian carp), 347 nucleotides. RefSeq lists it as uncharacterized. NCBI's taxonomy places the organism in Eukaryota, Metazoa, Chordata, Actinopteri, Cypriniformes, Cyprinidae. The transcript is spliced from 2 exons. The record is from RefSeq and is a predicted model, not a curated record.
CACACGUGAAGCGAGAGAGUGUUUGGUGAUCUAUUUCUUCUGUCUCUGGUUCCUGCAUCAUCAUCAUGUGAUCGUGUAACUCUCUUAUUUCUCUUGUUUCAGUCAAAACACAGUCUACAGUCAUUCUCCCAAAGAAGAACCUCAGGAUUUCAAGCACACUCAGUCGUUCAUGCUGUGACCCCGAUGCCUUAAACCAGUCCGAGUGAUGACCUUUGACCUGCCGUGCCUUUAUUUCAACUCAAUCAUGUCUGGAUCUACCGCGUGUGGACUGGGCUGAAUAGUUGUAUAUUUGAUCAGUAUUUGUGUGUUUUUUUUAUUUUUUAUAAAAAUAACUGAUUUUAUCUGAA